GUAGGUGAACUGCGGAAGGAUCAUUA
RNAcentral lists this ribosomal RNA (26 nucleotides) under Rhodotorula mucilaginosa. RNAcentral's name for it is "partial 18S ribosomal RNA". The record is from RNAcentral. RNAcentral also lists the same sequence under 7 other names. Lineage: Eukaryota; Fungi; Basidiomycota; Microbotryomycetes; Sporidiobolales; Sporidiobolaceae.